This 460-nucleotide ribosomal RNA is filed under the name uncultured bacterium. RNAcentral describes it as "partial 16S ribosomal RNA". It matches the Rfam family "Bacterial small subunit ribosomal RNA", at positions 338 to 795 of the family's 1533-position model. The record is from RNAcentral.
CCUACGGGGGGCAGCAGUGAGGAAUAUUGGUCAAUGGACGCGAGCCUGAACCAGCCAAGUAGCGUGAAGGAUGACUGCCCGAUGGGGUGUAAACUUCUUUUAUAUGGGAAUAAAGUGCAGUAUGUAUACUGCUUUGCAUGUACCUUAUGAAUAAGGAUCGGCUAACUCCGUGCCAGCAGCCGCGGUAAUACGGAGGAUCCGAGCGUUAUCCGGAUUUAUUGGGUUUAAAGGGAGCGGAGGCGGGUUGUUAAGUCAGUUGUGAAAGUUUGCGGCUCAACCGUAAAAUUGCAUUUGAUACUGGCAGCCUUGAGUACAGUAGCGGUAGGCGGAAUUCGUGGUGUAGCGGUGAAAUGCUUAGAUAUCACGAAGAACUCCGAUUGCGAAGGCAGCCUGCUGGACUGUAACUGACACUGAUGCUCGAAAGUGUGGGUAUCAAACAGGAUUAGAUACCCCUGUAGUC